This 222-nucleotide ribosomal RNA is filed under the name Geoanaerobacter pelophilus. RNAcentral's name for it is "partial 23S ribosomal RNA". It matches the Rfam family "Bacterial large subunit ribosomal RNA", at positions 2567 to 2787 of the family's 2925-position model. Lineage: Bacteria; Pseudomonadati; Thermodesulfobacteriota; Desulfuromonadia; Geobacterales; Geobacteraceae. The record is from RNAcentral.
AAGGGUUUGGCUGUUCGCCAAUUAAAGCGGUACGCGAGCUGGGUUUAAAACGUCGUGAGACAGUUUGGUCCCUAUCUUCUGUGGGCGUAGGAUACUUGAGAAGAGUUGACCUUAGUACGAGAGGACCGGGUUGAACGUACCUCUGGUGUUCCAGUUGUUCCGCCAGGAGCAGUCGCUGGGUAGCUAUGUACGGAAAGGAUAACCGCUGAAAGCAUCUAAGCG